GGCUAUUCCGAAGAUAGUAAGUUACCUCAAUUGAUUGUUCACAAAGAUUGAACUCCUUAUUGUACUCUUUUCUCCCUUCUAACUACUGCACUUGAUUAGUCUUGA
Molecule: Y RNA, 105 nt
Filed under: Saimiri boliviensis boliviensis (Bolivian squirrel monkey)
Lineage: Eukaryota; Metazoa; Chordata; Mammalia; Primates; Cebidae
Description: Y RNA (ENSSBOG00000012370.1)
Rfam family: Y RNA
About the family: Y RNAs are components of the Ro ribonucleoprotein particle (Ro RNP), in association with Ro60 and La proteins. The Y RNAs and Ro60 and La proteins are well conserved, but the function of the Ro RNP is not known.
Source: Rfam by way of RNAcentral